ACGGAAGGCAGCAGUGGGGAAUAUUGCACAAUGGGGGAAACCCUGAUGCAGCGACGCCGCGUGAGCGAAGAAGUAUUUCGGUAUGUAAAGCUCUAUCAGCAGGGAAGGAAAUGACGGUACCUGACUAAGAAGCCCCGGCUAACUACGUGCCAGCAGCCGCGGUAGUACGUAGGGGGCAAGCGUUAUCCGGAUUUACUGGGUGUAAAGGGAGCGUAGACGGCAAGGUAAGUCUGAAGUGAAAUGCCGGGGCUCAACCCCGGAACUGCUUUGGAAACUAUCUCGCUCGAGUACCGGAGGGGUAAGCGGAAUUCCUAGUGUAGCGGUGAAAUGCGUAGAUAUUAGGAGGACACCAGUGGCGAAGGCGGCUUACUGGACGGUAACUGACGUUGAGGCUCGAAAGCGUGGGGAGCAAACAGGAUUAGAUACCCUGGUA
RNAcentral lists this ribosomal RNA (433 nucleotides) under uncultured Lachnospiraceae bacterium. RNAcentral's name for it is "partial 16S ribosomal RNA". It matches the Rfam family "Bacterial small subunit ribosomal RNA", at positions 341 to 792 of the family's 1533-position model. Lineage: Bacteria; Bacillati; Bacillota; Clostridia; Lachnospirales; Lachnospiraceae. The record is from RNAcentral.